Molecule: long non-coding RNA, 200 nt
Filed under: Elaeis guineensis (African oil palm)
Lineage: Eukaryota; Viridiplantae; Streptophyta; Magnoliopsida; Arecales; Arecaceae
Description: long non-coding RNA (EGUI_LNC024631)
Source: RNAcentral
UGGGUAUCUUUGAACUUCAUUGUUUAUGACUCUAUCUCUCCAUUCUUGCUUUGGUCAUGACAGUCAUCCAAAUCUAAAUCACUCAGAUUAUUGGACGUUACCCAUCCUUGAUUUAAACGAUAAUUAGUUUUAAUUAUUUUAAAUUCUUGGAUAUUGAUUCAGUGCUAUAUGAGUACAAUCAAAUGGAUGAGAAGACAUUG